This 468-nucleotide ribosomal RNA is filed under the name uncultured bacterium. RNAcentral's name for it is "partial 16S ribosomal RNA". It matches the Rfam family "Bacterial small subunit ribosomal RNA", at positions 28 to 507 of the family's 1533-position model. The record is from RNAcentral.
GACGAACGCUGGCGGCGUGCUUAACACAUGCAAGUCGAACGGAAAGGCCCUGCUUUUGUGGGGUGCUCGAGUGGCGAACGGGUGAGUAACACGUGAGUAACCUGCCCUUUACUUUGGGAUAACGUCAGGAAACUGGGGCUAAUACCGGAUAGGCGCUCCUGCUGCAUGGUGGGGGUUGGAAAGUUUCGGCGGUUGGGGAUGGACUCGCGGCUUCUCAGCUUGUUGGUGGGGUAGUGGCUUACCAAGGCUUUGACGGGUAGCCGGCCUGAGAGGGUGACCGGCCACAUUGGGACUGAGAUACGGCCGAGACUCCUACGGGAGGCAGCAGUGGGGAAUAUUGCACAAUGGGCGGAAGCCUGAUGCAGCAACGCCGCGUGCGGGAUGACGGCCUUCGGGUUGUAAACCGCUUUCGCCUGUGACGAAGCGGGAGUGACGGUAAUGGGUAAAGAAGCACCGGCUAACUACGUG